AUAGCUGCCCUCAGACCCCUUGUGAAGUCCAAGAUCAUCAAAAAGAGAACCAAGAAUUUCAUCCAGCACCAGUUACACUGAUAUGUCAAAACUAAGUGUAACUGACAGAAACCCAGAGGUAUUGACAACAGAGUUUGUAGAAGGUUCAGCAACAAAAAACAAACCACAUGCUGCCCAGUGGCUUCCAGAAUUUCCUGGUCCGCAAUGUCAAGGAGCUGGAAGUGCUGCUGACGUGCAACAAGUGUGCUGAGAUUGCCCACAGUGUUUCCUCCAAGAACUGCAAAGACAUUGUGGAAAGAGCAGCCCAGCUGGCCAUCAGAGUCACCAAUCCCAAUGCCAGCCUGUGAAGAAAAUGAAUAG
This 360-nucleotide long non-coding RNA is filed under the name Homo sapiens (human). Its description in RNAcentral is "non-protein coding lnc-HEATR6-5:1". Lineage: Eukaryota; Metazoa; Chordata; Mammalia; Primates; Hominidae. The record is from RNAcentral.